Molecule: ribosomal RNA, 253 nt
Filed under: uncultured bacterium
Lineage: Bacteria
Description: partial 16S ribosomal RNA
Rfam family: Bacterial small subunit ribosomal RNA
Source: RNAcentral
UACGGAAGGGGCAAGCGUUGUUCGGAAUCAUUGGGCGUAAAGGGCGCGUAGGUGGUCCUGUAUGUCUGCCGUGAAAGCACACGGCUUAACCGUGUAGAGUCGGUAGAAACUGCAGGACUUGAGGUUGGGAGGGGCUGGUGGAAUUCCCUGUGUAGCGGUGAAAUGCGUAGAGAUGGGGGAGAACACUUGUGGCGAAGGCGGCCAGCUGGACCAAUUCUGACACUGAGGCGCGACAGCGUGGGGAGCAAACAGG